RNAcentral lists this ribosomal RNA (2816 nucleotides) under Klebsiella pneumoniae. Its description in RNAcentral is "partial 23S ribosomal RNA". It matches the Rfam family "Bacterial large subunit ribosomal RNA". Lineage: Bacteria; Pseudomonadati; Pseudomonadota; Gammaproteobacteria; Enterobacterales; Enterobacteriaceae. The record is from RNAcentral.
GGUUAAGCGACUAAGCGUACACGGUGGAUGCCCUGGCAGUCAGAGGCGAUGAAGGACGUGCUAAUCUGCGAAAAGCGUCGGUAAGGUGAUAUGAACCGUUAUAACCGGCGAUGUCCGAAUGGGGAAACCCAGUGCAAUUCGUUGCACUAUCGUUAACUGAAUACAUAGGUUAACGAGGCGAACCGGGGGAACUGAAACAUCUAAGUACCCCGAGGAAAAGAAAUCAACCGAGAUUCCCCCAGUAGCGGCGAGCGAACGGGGAGCAGCCCAGAGUCUGAAUCAGCUUGUGUGUUAGUGGAACGGUCUGGAAAGUCCGACGGUACAGGGUGAUAGUCCCGUACACCAAAAUGCACAGGUUGUGAACUCGAAGAGUAGGGCGGGACACGUGGUAUCCUGUCUGAAUAUGGGGGGACCAUCCUCCAAGGCUAAAUACUCCUGACUGACCGAUAGUGAACCAGUACCGUGAGGGAAAGGCGAAAAGAACCCCGGCGAGGGGAGUGAAAAAGAACCUGAAACCGUGUACGUACAAGCAGUGGGAGCACCUUCGGGUGUGACUGCGUACCUUUUGUAUAAUGGGUCAGCGACUUAUAUUCUGUAGCAAGGUUAACCGUAUAGGGGAGCCGCAGGGAAACCGAGUCUUAACUGGGCGUUAAGUUGCAGGGUAUAGACCCGAAACCCGGUGAUCUAGCCAUGGGCAGGUUGAAGGUUGGGUAACACUAACUGGAGGACCGAACCGACUAAUGUUGAAAAAUUAGCGGAUGACUUGUGGCUGGGGGUGAAAGGCCAAUCAAACCGGGAGAUAGCUGGUUCUCCCCGAAAGCUAUUUAGGUAGCGCCUCGUGAAUUCAUCUUCGGGGGUAGAGCACUGUUUCGGCUAGGGGGUCAUCCCGACUUACCAACCCGAUGCAAACUACGAAUACCGAAGAAUGUUAUCACGGGAGACACACGGCGGGUGCUAACGUCCGUCGUGAAGAGGGAAACAACCCAGACCGCCAGCUAAGGUCCCAAAGUCAUGGUUAAGUGGGAAACGAUGUGGGAAGGCACAGACAGCCAGGAUGUUGGCUUAGAAGCAGCCAUCAUUUAAAGAAAGCGUAAUAGCUCACUGGUCGAGUCGGCCUGCGCGGAAGAUGUAACGGGGCUAAACCAUGCACCGAAGCUGCGGCAGCGACACUAUGUGUUGUUGGGUAGGGGAGCGUUCUGUAAGCCUGCGAAGGUGUGCUGUGAGGCAUGCUGGAGGUAUCAGAAGUGCGAAUGCUGACAUAAGUAACGAUAAAGCGGGUGAAAAGCCCGCUCGCCGGAAGACCAAGGGUUCCUGUCCAACGUUAAUCGGGGCAGGGUGAGUCGACCCCUAAGGCGAGGCCGAAAGGCGUAGUCGAUGGGAAACAGGUUAAUAUUCCUGUACUUGGUGUUACUGCGAAGGGGGGACGGAGAAGGCUAUGUUAGCCGGGCGACGGUUGUCCCGGUUUAAGCAUGUAGGCUGAUUGUCCAGGCAAAUCCGGAUAAUCAAGGCUGAGGUGUGAUGACGAGGCACUACGGUGCUGAAGUAACAAAUGCCCUGCUUCCAGGAAAAGCCUCUAAGCAUCAGGUAACAUCAAAUCGUACCCCAAACCGACACAGGUGGUCAGGUAGAGAAUACCAAGGCGCUUGAGAGAACUCGGGUGAAGGAACUAGGCAAAAUGGUGCCGUAACUUCGGGAGAAGGCACGCUGGUGUGUAGGUGAAGUCCCUGCGGAUGGAGCUGAGACCAGUCGAAGAUACCAGCUGGCUGCAACUGUUUAUUAAAAACACAGCACUGUGCAAACACGAAAGUGGACGUAUACGGUGUGACGCCUGCCCGGUGCCGGAAGGUUAAUUGAUGGGGUUAUCCGUAAGGAGAAGCUCUUGAUCGAAGCCCCGGUAAACGGCGGCCGUAACUAUAACGGUCCUAAGGUAGCGAAAUUCCUUGUCGGGUAAGUUCCGACCUGCACGAAUGGCGUAAUGAUGGCCAGGCUGUCUCCACCCGAGACUCAGUGAAAUUGAACUCGCUGUGAAGAUGCAGUGUACCCGCGGCAAGACGGAAAGACCCCGUGAACCUUUACUAUAGCUUGACACUGAACAUUGAGCCUUGAUGUGUAGGAUAGGUGGGAGGCUUUGAAGCGUGGACGCCAGUCUGCGUGGAGCCAACCUUGAAAUACCACCCUUUAAUGUUUGAUGUUCUAACGUUGGCCCCUUACCGGGGUUGCGGACAGUGUCUGGUGGGUAGUUUGACUGGGGCGGUCUCCUCCCAAAGCGUAACGGAGGAGCACGAAGGUUAGCUAAUCCUGGUCGGACAUCAGGAGGUUAGUGCAAUGGCAUAAGCUAGCUUGACUGCGAGCGUGACGGCGCGAGCAGGUGCGAAAGCAGGUCAUAGUGAUCCGGUGGUUCUGAAUGGAAGGGCCAUCGCUCAACGGAUAAAAGGUACUCCGGGGAUAACAGGCUGAUACCGCCCAAGAGUUCAUAUCGACGGCGGUGUUUGGCACCUCGAUGUCGGCUCAUCACAUCCUGGGGCUGAAGUAGGUCCCAAGGGUAUGGCUGUUCGCCAUUUAAAGUGGUACGCGAGCUGGGUUUAGAACGUCGUGAGACAGUUCGGUCCCUAUCUGCCGUGGGCGCUGGAGAAUUGAGGGGGGCUGCUCCUAGUACGAGAGGACCGGAGUGGACGCAUCACUGGUGUUCGGGUUGUCAUGCCAAUGGCACUGCCCGGUAGCUAAAUGCGGAAGAGAUAAGUGCUGAAAGCAUCUAAGCACGAAACUUGCCCCGAGAUGAGUUCUCCCUGAGACUUUAAGUCUCCUGAAGGAACGUU